GCCAUUAGUGGAUGCCUAGGAAGUGUUGACCGAAGAAGGACGUUUCUACGGCAGCGAAAAUCGUCGGGGAGCAGCCCAUGAUGCUUUGAUCCGGCGGUGUCCGAAUGGGGAAACCCAUGCCGAUGCAAAUUCGGCAUAACCUUUGCCAUGAAGUUGGUUUCGAUUUAUCGAGAUCAUAUUAGUGGCGGGUAGGGAACCCGGUGAACUGAAACAUCUAAGUAACCGGUGGAAAAGAAAUCAAAGAGAUUCCCUUAGUAGCGGCGAGUGAAAAGGGAUCA
This 278-nucleotide ribosomal RNA is filed under the name Candidatus Levybacteria bacterium RIFCSPHIGHO2_01_FULL_38_96. Its description in RNAcentral is "partial 23S ribosomal RNA". It matches the Rfam family "Bacterial large subunit ribosomal RNA", at positions 17 to 266 of the family's 2925-position model. Lineage: Bacteria; Candidatus Levyibacteriota. The record is from RNAcentral.